CUGGCAUUCAGGUAGCUAUCCGGAAUUCUCUUUCUUCACGGGCUCUAAGAACUUUGUAUACCAUCUCGCAGACCAUAGCUGUGAUCCAAGCUGGGCACGGACUUCUCCAACUAGGAUCCUGCAAGAUCGUGAGUAUCUCAGCUCUCCAUUGCACGGCAUUUUAACGUACCAUGAGCCACAGGUUGCCGAGGACCUCCACUUCGUGCUACGGAUGAGAUACACAUUUGAGUCGCUGGAGAACCAGGCCGGAGGAGGAUUUCUCUCCCAGACGUUUGCUCCCAUGAG
This 285-nucleotide long non-coding RNA is filed under the name Selaginella moellendorffii. RNAcentral's name for it is "long non-coding RNA (SMOE_LNC000783)". Lineage: Eukaryota; Viridiplantae; Streptophyta; Lycopodiopsida; Selaginellales; Selaginellaceae. The record is from RNAcentral.